GCGAUGUUGGCUCAGUUGGUAGAGCGUUGGUCUCAUAACACGAUCUGGUUAAACAUCAGGAACAUCCAAAGGUCGUGAGUUCGAGCCUCACGUCGCA
Molecule: non-coding RNA, 97 nt
Organism: Lasiosphaeria hispida
Lineage: Eukaryota; Fungi; Ascomycota; Sordariomycetes; Sordariales; Lasiosphaeriaceae
Source: the annotation of a GenBank genome assembly